RNAcentral lists this ribosomal RNA (235 nucleotides) under Escherichia coli. RNAcentral's name for it is "partial 16S ribosomal RNA". It matches the Rfam family "Bacterial small subunit ribosomal RNA", at positions 1 to 232 of the family's 1533-position model. Lineage: Bacteria; Pseudomonadati; Pseudomonadota; Gammaproteobacteria; Enterobacterales; Enterobacteriaceae. The record is from RNAcentral.
AAAUUGAAGAGUUUGAUCAUGGCUCAGAUUGAACGCUGGCGGCAGGCCUAACACAUGCAAGUCGAACGGUAACAGGGAUCAGCUUGCUGAUUCGCUGACGAGUGGCGGACGGGUGAGUAAUGUCUGGGAAACUGCCUGAUGGAGGGGGAUAACUACUGGAAACGGUAGCUAAUACCGCAUAACGUCGCAAGACCAAAGAGGGGGACCUUCGGGCCUCUUGCCAUCGGAUGUGCCC